This 575-nucleotide long non-coding RNA is filed under the name Pan troglodytes (chimpanzee). RNAcentral's name for it is "long non-coding RNA NONPTRT014452". Lineage: Eukaryota; Metazoa; Chordata; Mammalia; Primates; Hominidae. The record is from RNAcentral.
GGGGCCUGGCUAGCCGGGACUAAGACGACAGAGAGUAGAGAAAUCUGCCCAGAGAGGUGUUCUGCGGAAGUCCACCCAUGCAAAGCCACAGCAGAACUGUCCAGGAACCCAAACAUACAGCAACCACCAUUCUCAAGCACAACAGGAGGGUCACCUCUGAAAGGCCAGCGCCAGGGAGAAGUCACAAAGUAUUUCCAACUGAUGAGGGGUUUAUCUGGACACGACACAGCACCAUCCGAAGCAGAGGAGCAUCUGUACCAGGUUCUUGUACAGAACACAUGGCACACACAACUGUUUGUUCACUGACUUAAAAUCCAUGAUUGGCACCUGCUAUUAGUCUGGCUGGUGGCUCACACCUAUAAUCCUAACACUUUGGGAGGCCGAGGCAGAAGGACUGCUUGAGGCCAGGAGUUCAACACCAGCCUGGGCAAUAUAGCAAGACCCCCCUCUCUUCAAAAAAAUAAAAAUAAAAAUGAGCCAGGUGUGGUGGUGCAUGCCUGUAGUCCCAGCUACUCAGGAGGCUGAGGCAGAAAGAUCACUUAAGCCUGGGAGGUGGGAAGCUUCAGAGAGCUGUG